CUAAUGUCAGCGCAGAGCUCGAGAUCAUUGUACAGCGCUGAUGAAAAAUGGAAGAGUUACCACUGUUGGUCACAUUGGCUAACAAGGAAAAUGCAACCUUCAGCAGAUAUCGAGGGAAAUAGCCUUCCAUUCGAAAUCAAAUGCACUGUGCAGGGGGGUUUAUUUGGCCUAGAGGAAUUAUUUCAUAUUUUCAGAUCCGCUCGAGUUUGAUGGAGUCGGUAACAUGGAGCAAUAUUAGGCUGACAAGGAUAAAUCUUGCAGCCUGGCGAAUAUGCAGUCUGCGUCUCAAUACACAUCCCAAUCAACAUUUGGGCACAGAGGGCCUGAAGAGACAAGUCUUCAGGGAGACAUCUCACUCGCCCAGAAACAGCCCAAGACUCCAGACCUCUCCUUCUGUUAAGCAUGGACUACCCGGAUGUCCACUUCCACUGGGGGCUGCAGUGAGACAAAGCUACUGGGAUCUCCUAUAGGACCUACGGUCUUCUGACAGACACCUGCUACAGUACCAGGGAGAACCAUGGCACCACGGUCCUCUACCUCUAUUCAUCUAGAUUCUACACUACAGUGUGGUUCAUGCUCAUACUGCAGUGGAACAUGAUGCCCAGUAAUACUGAAUGACUAAUCUAAUCAUAUUGAAAAUAGUUUGUUUCAGUUCAAGUUUCAUUCUACUGUACCAGUGUUCAUUAUAUGCAGUUGCUAAAAUGUAUAUGGUUUGUCUUGACAAGAUGCAAGCAUUGAUUAUUACAUUGUUAUUCACAAAGAUGAUUCUUGUCUCAAUAAAUAAAAUGUCCAUAAAACAUGUUGGGAUUAAAAAGGUUUAAAC
Oncorhynchus tshawytscha (Chinook salmon) is the source of this 823-nucleotide long non-coding RNA. The record is from Ensembl. NCBI's taxonomy places the organism in Eukaryota, Metazoa, Chordata, Actinopteri, Salmoniformes, Salmonidae.